GAUGAACGCUAGCGAUAGGCUUAACACAUGCAAGUCGAGGGGCAUCACGAGGGUAGCAAUACUUUGGUGGCGACCGGCGUACGGGUGCGUAACACGUAUGCAACCUUCCUGUAAGUGUGGGAUAGCCUCCUGAAAGGGAGAUUAAUACCUCAUGAUAUGUAUUUGCUGCAUGGCAUUUACAUUAAACAUUUAUGGCUUACAGAUGGGCAUGCGUUCCAUUAGGCAGUUGGUGUGGUAACGGCUCACCAAACCUACGAUGGAUAGGGGUUCUGAGAGGAAGGUCCCCCACACUGGAACUGAGACACGGUCCAGACUCCUACGGGAGGCAGCAGUGAGGAAUAUUGGUCAAUGGCGCGAGCCUGACCAGCCACGUCGCGUGAAGGAUGACGGCCUUAUGGGUUGUAAACUUCUUUUACUAGGGGAAUAAAGUGAGUCACGUGUGAUUUUUGCAUGUACCUGUGAAUAAGCAUCGGCUAACUCCGUG
This 484-nucleotide ribosomal RNA is filed under the name uncultured bacterium. Its description in RNAcentral is "bacterial SSU rRNA". It matches the Rfam family "Bacterial small subunit ribosomal RNA", at positions 28 to 507 of the family's 1533-position model. The record is from RNAcentral.